AUUGAACGCUGGCGGCAGGCCUAACACAUGCCAGUCGAGCGAGCGGCGGACGGGUGAGUAAUGUCUGGGGAACUGCCUGAUGGAGGGGGAUAACUACUGGAAACGGUAGCUAAUACCGCAUACCAUCAGAUGUUCCCAGAUGGGAUUAGCUAGUAGGUGGGGUAAUGGCUCACCUAGGCGACGAUCCCUAGCUGGUCUGAGAGGAUGACCAGCCACACUGGAACUGAGACACGGUCCAGACUCCUACGGGAGGACGCAGGGGGGAAUAUUGAACAAUGGGCGCAAGCCUGAUGCAGCUAUGCCGAGUGUGUGAAGAAGGCCUUCGGGUUGUAAAGCACUUUCAGCGGGGAGGCGGUACCCGCAGAAGAAGCACCGGCUAACUCCGUGCCAGCAGCCGCGGUAAUAC
RNAcentral lists this ribosomal RNA (406 nucleotides) under uncultured bacterium. RNAcentral's name for it is "partial 16S ribosomal RNA". It matches the Rfam family "Bacterial small subunit ribosomal RNA", at positions 30 to 526 of the family's 1533-position model. The record is from RNAcentral.